UUGAGUCAGUUUGUUUUGUCCGCCAUAAAACAUUUUCAAGUUCAUUACUUUUUAUCAGCAAGGGAAGAUAAGUCUCAUCUCAUCCCCAUAUUUGAUCAUAAUAUUUAAAAGUCUUACUUAACACUUCUUACGUUUUUAGGGUCCUAUGAUGCACAGCUCAAAUAGCAAUACUAAAAUAGUUUUCAGGAAGCAGAUUAUCACCUAAGAGAUAAUUCUAGAUUCCGGAUUCCAACUACUAUUUAAGUGAAAGAGUUUUUAAGAAUGAUGCAUAUUUAUCUAUAAGUAACCAAGCUUAAAAAAAUUGUAAAAUUCAAAAUGAAGGUUUUCUUUGCUCUAGCAUUCUUUGCUUAUGCCCUGACAGUAGCUUCGGCUGGGCGAUGCCUCGAACAAGCGGAAUGUGAUGAUAGCCAUUGUUGCGCAGGUCUUCCCUUUUUUGGUGGAAUUUGUAGACCACACACACCA
This is a non-coding RNA of Parasteatoda tepidariorum (common house spider), 462 nucleotides long. NCBI's taxonomy places the organism in Eukaryota, Metazoa, Arthropoda, Arachnida, Araneae, Theridiidae. The record is from RefSeq and is a predicted model, not a curated record.